AAGUCGUAACAAGGUUUCCGUAGGUGAACCUGCGGAAGGAUCAUUAUAAAAUUUUCGUAUAUUUAUUUUUUAAAUAUAUAAAAUUACACAAAAAUGUAUUCAAAACCCACACUCUUGUAACCAUUUAUAAAAAAAACAUUAUAUCUCGCAUAUAAUAUUAAUUAAAAACAACUUUCAACAACGGAUCUCUUGGCUCUC
Molecule: unclassified non-coding RNA, 198 nt
Rfam family: Eukaryotic small subunit ribosomal RNA (bases 1-46)